Molecule: small nuclear RNA, 104 nt
Filed under: Mus spretus (western wild mouse)
Lineage: Eukaryota; Metazoa; Chordata; Mammalia; Rodentia; Muridae
Source: RNAcentral
GUGCUCACUUUGGCAGCACAUAUACUAAAAUUGGAACGAUACAGAGAUUAGCAUGGCUCCUGUGCAAGGAUGACAUGCAAAUUUGUGAAGUGUUCCAUAAUUUU